RNAcentral lists this small nucleolar RNA (68 nucleotides) under Echinops telfairi (small Madagascar hedgehog). The record is from RNAcentral. Lineage: Eukaryota; Metazoa; Chordata; Mammalia; Afrosoricida; Tenrecidae.
UCUCAGUGCUGAACACUGUCCCAUUCCACUAUUGACUUGACCUGCUGAUUAAGUAUUAUCUGAGGAGA